Long non-coding RNA from Pezoporus occidentalis (night parrot), 281 nucleotides. RefSeq lists it as uncharacterized. The record is from RefSeq and is a predicted model, not a curated record. Lineage: Eukaryota; Metazoa; Chordata; Aves; Psittaciformes; Psittacidae. The transcript is spliced from 2 exons.
UCUGCAGGCUGAGUGGGGCUGUGCUGGCAAGUACAACUCAGCUAGGCACUGGGACAAAGCUCGCAUGUCUUCCCAGGCUGGGCUUGUUGCUGGAGAUGCUGGUACAGGCAGAGGGUGUUCCCAGCAUCCCUGGCAUGGGACCCUGGCUCUGCACCCGUGGCUCUUCUUGGCGUAUUUGUUGGAUGCCCGAAGGGAUUUUGGAGACCUUCACUAGGUGUAGGUGUCCACUGUAAGGACUUAUUUGCACACCUUGUGUCUCCAGCUGCUGGCUCUUAGGCUUC